GGAAGUAAAAGUCGUAACAAGGUUUCCGUAGGUGAACCUGCGGAAGGAUCAUUACCUAGAGUUUGUGGACUUCGGUCUGCUACCUCUUACCCAUGUCUUUUGAGUACCUUCGUUUCCUCGGCGGGUCCGCCCGCCGGUUGGACAACAUUCAAACCCUUUGCAGUUGCAAUCAGCGUCUGAAAAAACUUAAUAGUUACAACUUUCAACAACGGAUCUCUUGGUUCUGGCAUCGAUGAAGAACGCAGCGAAAUGCGAUAAGUAGUGUGAAUUGCAGAAUUCAGUGAAUCAUCGAAUCUUUGAACGCACAUUGCGCCCCUUGGUAUUCCAUGGGGCAUGCCUGUUCGAGCGUCAUUUGUACCUUCAAGCUCUGCUUGGUGUUGGGUGUUUUGUCUCGCCUCCGCGCGCAGACUCGCCUUAAAACAAUUGGCAGCCGGCGUAUUGAUUUCGGAGCGCAGUACAUCUCGCGCUUUGCACUCAUAACGACGACGUCCAAAAGUACAUUUUUACACUCUUGACCUCGGAUCAGGUAGGGAUACCCGCUGAACUUAAGCAUAUCAAUAAGCGGAGGA
Molecule: ribosomal RNA, 569 nt
Filed under: Epicoccum nigrum
Lineage: Eukaryota; Fungi; Ascomycota; Dothideomycetes; Pleosporales; Didymellaceae
Description: eukaryotic LSU rRNA
Rfam family: 5.8S ribosomal RNA (bases 198-351)
Source: RNAcentral